CAAUGUGUGAAAGCACCAUCAUGUAGCCCCUGAUCUGGAUCUCGUCCACCAGGCUCUGCCCUUGGAAACUAAGAAAGAGAAGGGCGUGCUUUGUGAAUGAGUUUGCCCUGUAGCAGAAAGAACCAAAGAAAAACCUGGCCUUCUUCCCUGAGCACUUCCACAAAGACACACAACAUGCAGUGAAGGGGGCCGACAGGGGAAAUCUUUCCAAGUUAGGCUCCAGGGAAAGGUCUGCUUUGCCUUCCUUGGAAACUCACAAAGAUACCAGUGUGGAGAUUAAGGAUUGCCAAAUUUCCCUUCAACGGGGAACAGGCCAAGUGGCUCAGACAUCCCUCGUCACUCGUGGGUCAUCGGAAAAAAAAAAAAAAAAAACUGUGCUGGGGAGUUGAUGGAAAAAAAACUUGGGUAGUUUCUCAUUUCAGGAGAGCUCUAGCAUUCAGAUAGGUUUCAACUUUCCUCUAAAAUUCUGAACAGAAAGAAUCUUACUUAAGAAUUUUCCAUCGUGAAAAAAGACAAAACUUAACUCAAAUCACCAGUGAAAUCUCAAAUGCCAAAAACAACAACCUGCGGUUCUUUCGGUCUUAGGUGAAGUGUUUCUGACAUGAAUUUUCACUUGGCAUUUUCCUUCUUUCUUUAUGAUUGAAAAAAGCAUAUGUUUUCCUUUUUGAUAAAAUGUGCGUCUUCGGACAAAAAUAUCUGCGACCUGCUGGAUGGUGGUGCUUGAUAAUUGAUUAAUGACAGAUAGCAAUGAUACCUUUGAUUUAACUUGGUAAUUAAAGUUCUGCGCACUUUGAACAUCCGAUGCAGUUGAAUCUGCUUAUAAGAUUAAGCAGAUAGAAGAGGGGUUAAGAUAGAAGAGGAGGCUCAGGAAUAGAUAAAAGCAAAUUCCUUGUCUCUCCACAAUGCAGUUGGGUAGGGACAAACAUUGAAUUAUGGGAAUUGAAGGAGCUGAUGCACUUGGCUGUGAAAUUAAAUAACUGCAGAUGUGAAUGUUCUGUCACUUGUGCUGUCCCUUUAAUUGAGACUAUCUACGUCUAGAGCCUUCUCACUAGUGCAGAGGCAUCCAGAAAGAAAUGUUCAGAGUUAGCUGUACGAAUGCUGUAUCACUGGUUGUAAAACAAAAAUAUUAUACAUGACUUUUUAAUAUCUCCUAAGAGGGACAUAAUAAGGAAAAUAUAUUUGCUUUCCAAGAAAACAGAUCAAAUAAGGUAAAUGAUUCACUAUGUAAGAAAAAAAUUUCAUUAAUAUUCUUCAUAAAAUUGUUUCAUAAAAAGCUUACAUAUGAAAAUAAUUUUUCACUUAAGUAGAUUUACUCUUUGAUGUUAAUAGACUUAGCUGCUCAAAUUAAUUUUAAAAACAAAAUUUUUAAUUGCGAAAAACAGCAUAACACAUUGGCUUUGUUAUAAUCUAGGAAAUUAUUUUUUAAUAUUUCUUUGUACUAUUGAGCAAUUGAAAAUCUGUGAAGUAAUGCAUUCUUCCAUGGGAAGCAAUCACUAAGGUGGUUCUGAAACCUUAAUUUUUAUAUUAAACAAAAGCAUUAGGCUUUAGAGUUUACUGAGGCAACAAAAUGAAAUACACAACUGCCUUGAAAUAUUAUGCACAAGUAAUAAAACAUUUAUACCUGUUUUAUAUAAAAAUGUAGAUUUUAAUCCAUUACAGUUGAGGUGCAAAUAGUCCAAAUUAAUGCAGGUGAAUAAAUACUUCUGCUGAGUGCUCUCGGUGAAUUGCAGUCAAAAUUAAGACAUACAAUUUAACAAGAUAAAGUCACCUUUAACUUAUUCUUUGUUAAUGUCAAACAAGGGGAAUUAAAUGUCUUUAUUAAGAUUAGGCUUUAUGAAUUAAAACAUUCCAUGUGCAGUGUAUGUCAGUCCUUACCAGUUUCCUUGGUGUUAACACACGUUAUGAAAUUUACCUGUAAGAGUUCCAUUAAAUAAUCCUAGAAUUUCACAGCAUUGUCUCCAUGUAUGGAAAAACUUCUCGCUAACUCCCCAAAUUGCAAACAUAUCUAAAAUGAAGAUGGCAUCAAAUGGCUCAUGAUUAGGUUGUUGUUUUCGAUCUGACAUUUUAAAAUGGACUUUGAUCACCUGCAGACAUCCUUUUCUAAAUUAAGAUUGCAGGAGAGUACAAACUAUUUGACUUACUAAAUGGAAUUCAAUAUAAUGAAACUGAAGAACUUAAGGUGAUAAAGCAAUGAUGUUAGGUUUGAGUAAAAAUAAUUCAGUGAAAAUAAAAAGAGUAGAACAUCAACCACAUCAGCACUUUCCAAGGCACAGUGUAAGUAAGUCAGGUUGGUGUAAAGAUACAUUAUAACCCAUUCUAAGAUGUCUCUUUGGCAGCUGGACACUGUCACAAGCUGAUGUUAAGUUGUUUUAUCUGUGAAGUUUCCAAAAUGGUUUAUAUAAAACCUAUAAAAAUAUAACCCUAUUUUCUUUCGGGUUUUUCUAUGAUAAAAAAAAUAUACUUUUAACUUUUUCUAGAAAAUGGGGAUAAUUCGUUGCAAUGUAGACCCAGUCUUCACCACGAUGACAGGCCAUUUGUUGGCACAUCAAUGAACAAAAUGCAUUGCACUUAAAAUUGAGUGCUCAGAGACAUGUGUGGAUGAACAAGGAGACCAUAGGAUAGGUUAUGAUCCAUAUUUGGGAAAUUUUAGACAUUAUCUAUGCAAAUAUUUACAUUUCAAAUAAUAAGUGUUUACCUAUAAUAUAUAAUUGUGUUAGCUUACUGAAGGAAGAUUAUGAUGUUGAGUAGAGCUAUAUUUGUGUUAUAUAUUUUAGCUGAUUUUAACAAACAUAAGCAGAAUGGGAAAUUGCUGUAGAUAAUCACCAAAUCUCAUGUAAAGGCCUAUUUUCAAAUUUCUUUAAAAUCCUACUUGAUACAACUGGAAAAGAACUGGAUUGGGAGCCAAAAGACAGGGCUGAACUUGGACAAGGCAUUUCACCUUCUUAAUGUCUGGUUCUCAUUGUACUUUUCCGCGUAUAAAACACCAGGCUAAAUGUCUAUAACAUCUAUCUGAAUUUAUCUUCGAAUUUCAUAUCCAUUUAUUUUCCCUGACAGGACUUCUGAUAGUCAAAUGGCUGAAAUGGCCAAACGAAGAGAGAAAGAGAAAAAUGUAAAAAGAAAAGAAAAUCAUGGACUUGGAGAAGAGACUUGUGGCUGCCUGAUGGGAGGGGGAGGGAGUGGGAGGGAUCGGGAGCUUGGGCUUAUCAGACACAACUUAGAAUAGAUUUACAAGGAGAUCCUGCUGAAAAGCAUUGAGAACUAUGUCUAGAUACUCAUGUUGCAACAGAAGAAAGGGUGGGGGAAAAACUGUAAUUGCAAUGUAUACAUGUAAGGAUAACCUGACCCCCUUGCUGUACAGUG
Molecule: long non-coding RNA, 3360 nt
Filed under: Sus scrofa (pig)
Lineage: Eukaryota; Metazoa; Chordata; Mammalia; Artiodactyla; Suidae
Description: lncRNA (ENSSSCG00025023836.1)
Source: RNAcentral